Molecule: RNA transcript, 3188 nt
Organism: Brassica napus (rape)
Lineage: Eukaryota; Viridiplantae; Streptophyta; Magnoliopsida; Brassicales; Brassicaceae
Gene name: histone-lysine N-methyltransferase, H3 lysine-9 specific SUVH6-like
Exons: 4
Source: RefSeq, a predicted model, not a curated record
CCCAAAAAAACAUACUACCAAUAUAUAUAUUUUUUCCAAAUACCAUUGAAAGGGAACUAUAAACUCGACCAAGAUCUCUUCUUCCCAUGGCUCAACGUGACGUGACACUGGGCGUGUCCGUUCCCUUUCUCCUCAAACGUUAAAACGUUUUUAUUUACUUUGUUUUAAAAUACAAGGAAACAAAUCAAAUCGCUAAUUCUGACUAUAAACUUCGAAUUCAUCAUCAUCUUCUUCUUCUUUGGAUCUCGCUCUUUCAAUCGAACAAGUCCUGGUGAUUUUUGGUUCAUAGAGUCUUAGUCCAUUGUCUCGUUUAGUGGAGGAUAUGGUGCAUGCAGAGUCAGUGAAACUUAGUUCCUUGAGCAAUGGUCAUGUUCCUCAGGAGAAACUAGGAGGAGACGUUUUGCAGAAUAGUACUAAUGUUCGUGUAACCGCUUCUACUAAGACGCUUAAGUUCAAGCGCCGCAAGGUUUUUGCUCAUAGAGACUUCCCUCCUGGCUGUGGAACCCCUUCCAUGAGGCUUAAGGCGAGAAUCGCAGAGAAUGUGAAUGUUGUUGGUGCUGAUGAUCACCACCCUAGUGCUCCGUCUUCUGAAGCUAACAUGAAUGACCCUUGUAAAGAGGAAAAAAAGUCUGAACAGCAUCCGCCUAACGACAUGGAACUAGUGGUAUUUGAAUCUCAUGUUGCUAAACAGGAACCGGAACCAAAGAAAGAGGAGUCUGGUGAAUUGACGGUGUAUACAAGUGAUCGACAUGUUGAGCCGGUGGCGGUUAAGCCGUUGAGGAUCUGUUUGCCAGAUGGAAAUGAUAAAACCGCGGUUAAGUCAUCGUCAUCGGAACCAAAACGAACUCAUGGUGCAGUUAAAAGAAAGGCAACGAAAAGCGUUGCGUUUCAUGAACCGUUGAAGGUUGCCAAAAAGAUGAAUAUAGAUUAUGGUGAAGGGUCUAAAACGAAGAAGAAUUUGUAUUCGCGCGAGAGAGGAAGAAGUCCAGAUAGAGGGGAGCUACAUCGCCAGCCUCGGACAUUACAAGUUGGGCUUCCUCCUUCGCGUCCCAGUGGCUCAAGCGGCGGUGGUGAUAGCCGGACAAAAGUCAAGGAAACACUACGUCUUUUCUACGGAGCUUGUAGAAAGCUUUUACAAGAGGAAGAAGCAAAGCCUGUGAAGCAAAAGAGGUUCAGAGUAGACUGCGAGGCGGCCAAGAUUCUCAGGGAGAAAGGGAAGUAUCUCAACACCGGGAAACAUAUAAUGGGAGCUGUCCCUGGGAUUGAAGUAGGUGACGAGUUUCAGUACAGGAUGGAGCUGAACAUUCUCGGCAUACAUAAACCGAGUCAAGGAGGUAUUGACUAUAUGAAGAUCGGUGAUGAAGUAUUUGCAACGAGUAUUGUAGCCUCCGGAGGGUACGAUGACGAGCUUGACAACACUGAUGUCUUGACCUACACGGGUCAAGGCGGAAACGUGAUAAAGAACAAGAAAGGAAAGGAAGUACCGAUGCCUGAAGACCAGAAGCUUGUAACUGGGAACCUCGCGUUAGCAAACAGCGUGAAGAAGAAGAACCCUGUGCGCGUCAUAAGAGGGAACAAGAAGGCGGUUUUGGAAUCAUCAGGCGAUAAGAAAGGUAGAAGCUACGUUUACGAUGGGUUAUACUUUGUGGAGACGUUUUGGCAAGAGACUGGUUCGCACGGGAAGCUUGUCUUCAAGUUUAAGCUUAGGCGCAUGCCUGGACAACCCGAGCUCGCGUGGAAAGUGGUGAAGAACACAAAGAAGGCAGAGGAGCGCGUGGGUCUGUGCAGGAUCGACAUCUCGGAAGGGCAUGAGAGGCUUCCCAUCUGCGCUGUGAACGAGAUCGACGACGAGGAGCCUCCUUCUUUCAUCUACACGGUUAAGAUGAUUUACCCUGACUGGUGCAGACCGAUACCUCCGAAGGGAUGCCGCUGCACCAGACGCUGUGCAGAAGCGAAGGACUGCGCUUGCGUGGCGAAGAACGGAGGAGAGAUACCGUAUAACUACGAUGGAGCUAUAGUCAGUGCGAAGAAUCUGAUCUACGAGUGUGGCCCGCUCUGUAAAUGCCCUGCUUCUUGCUACCUAAGAGUCACGCAGAGAGGGAUCAAGUUCCCGCUCGAGAUCUUCAAAACCGAGUCGAGAGGAUGGGGAGUGAGAUCUCUCAGCUCGAUCCCUUCAGGUAGCUUCAUAUGCGAGUACGUAGGUGAGCUUUUAGAGGAUAAAGAAGCGGAGAGAAGAACAGGGAACGACGAGUAUCUCUUUGACAUUGGAAACAGAUACGACAACUCUUUAGCUGAAGGGAUGUCGAAGCUAAUGCCUGAGACGCAGCCGGCCAUGGGAGGAGAUGAUGAUGAGAUGAGCGGCUUCACCAUUGAUGCAGCGAAGAAAGGUAACAUAGGGAGGUUCAUAAACCACAGCUGCUCGCCGAACCUGUACGCGCAGAACGUGUUGUAUGAUCAUGAAGACACGAGGAUCCCUCACGUGAUGUUCUUCGCAAUGGACAAUGUACCUCCGCUUCAAGAACUCACGUACCACUACAAUUACAUGAUCGAUCAGGAUUGGAGAUGAGAAGGAAGAAGGGUUGUUUACUACCUGAACCACACCGAAAAGAGGCGAAGAUGGAACAUUGCCAAAUAUGUGAAUUGCUACAGUGGAGAUAGCCAUUGAUAAUGGUCUUAAACUUGGUUCCACGCAAUGCAAACACACAUAAUUCACAGAAGCCUGAAGAAGAAAGAAAGACAAAGCUCUUCUUGAUGAGUGAUAGGAAGAGUAUAUUGUUUCAAAGAUCACAUAUCAGCAGGAGAAACUAAAGGAUGAAGGUGAGAGUUGAGGAGUUAGAGGUGCAGGCCCAACAACAGUGCCCAUGACAAAUACUCCGACACCACCUAGACCUGUAGAUGGUGUUGCUGGAAAUGGAGAAUUUUGAUGAUGACAGGACGUUUGAUCCAUCCGCCGAGGGACUGAACACUUGAACAGCAUUCCAGAAGCAGUUUGUGGUCCAAGAAAGCUUAGAAUGGAAGAAGAUGUGGCUGUAAACUUUGAGUGAAGACAACUUAACAUGCAAUGAAAGCAUUGAAGCAUCUGUCUCUUUGAAAUCAGUUUUCUCUCUGCUUCCUGGAAAGUUACUUUGAAUUUUCCGGGAAUAAAUAAUUUCAAUCUCUGAGUGUUUCACUUGAUUGUAAUUCAAAAA